AGGGCACCACCAGGAGUGGAGCCUGCGGCUUAAUUUGACUCAACACGGGGAAACUUACCCGGCCUGGACACUGGAAGGAUUGACAGAUUGAGAGCUCUUUCUUGAUUCAGUGGGUGGUGGUGCAUGGCCGUUCUUAGUUGGUGGAGCGAUUUGUCUGGUUAAUUCCGAUAACGAACGAGACUCUAGCCUAUUAAAUAGGCUCCCGGCUUUUAAACGCCGGGAGGACUUCUUAGAGGGACAGGUGGCGGUUCAGCCGCACGAAAGAGAGCAAUAGCAGGUCUGUGAUGCCCUUUGUUGUCCGGGGCCGCACGCGCGCUACACUGAAGAGAUCAGCGUGCUUUACGUUCCUGCUCCGACCGGAGUGGGGAACCCAGUGAACCUUCUUCGUGAUUGGGAUAGAAGAUUGUAAUUAUUCUUCUUGAACGAGGAAUUCCCAGUAAAUGCGAGUCAUAAGCUCGCGUUGAUUACGUCCCUGCCCUUUGUACACACCGCCCGUCGCUACUACCGAUUGAACGAUUU
This 519-nucleotide ribosomal RNA is filed under the name uncultured eukaryote. RNAcentral's name for it is "SSU rRNA". It matches the Rfam family "Eukaryotic small subunit ribosomal RNA", at positions 1161 to 1699 of the family's 1831-position model. The record is from RNAcentral.